RNAcentral lists this ribosomal RNA (491 nucleotides) under uncultured bacterium. RNAcentral's name for it is "partial 16S ribosomal RNA". It matches the Rfam family "Bacterial small subunit ribosomal RNA", at positions 29 to 506 of the family's 1533-position model. The record is from RNAcentral.
AGUGAACGCUGGCGGUAGGCCUAACACAUGCAAGUCGAACGGCAGCACAGUAAGAGCUUGCUCUUACGGGUGGCGAGUGGCAGACGGGUGAGGAAUACAUCGGAAUCUACUUUUUCGUGGGGGAUAACGUAGGGAAACUUACGCUAAUACCGCAUACGACCUACGGGUGAAAGCAGGGGAUCUUCGGACCUUGCGCGAUUGAAUGAGCCGAUGUCGGAUUAGCUAGUUGGCGGGGUAAAGGCCCACCAAGGCGACGAUCCGUAGCUGGUCUGAGAGGAUGAUCAGCCACACUGGAACUGAGACACGGUCCAGACUCCUACGGGAGGCAGCGGUGGGGAAUAUUGGACAAUGGGCGCAAGCCUGAUCCAGCCAUACCGCGUGGGUGAAGAAGGCCUUCGGGUUGUAAAGCCCUUUUGUUGGGAAAGAAAAGCAGCAGGUUAAUACCCCGCUGUUCUGACGGUACCCAAAGAAUAAGCACCGGCUAACUUCGU